UCCCAUUCAACGACAAUACCAUUCUUAGUACACAAAUCAACAAGAAGAUGCACAUGAACAAAUUCAUGCAAACAAUACAAAAUAAUUAUCUGAUGGUGCAAUUUGUUCUCUAAAAUAUGAGGAGAAAUGCAGCCGACGAGAGAUUGAGGAACACAAUCGAAAGUUCCCAUACUCAUCCAUGGGUCUUUGUGGGUUAUGAUUCUAAUGUCUCUAGUACAAAUAAUGUGUGGGACACAUAUCAAAUAAGAAUAACAAACGAAGAAGAGCAUACAAAUGCAGAUUGCGGGAUGGCCAUCUUCUUUACUCUCGAUCUGUGACAGAAGAAGAAUAAGAAAGAGGAGAGACGGACGAGGGAGAACUUAAAAUGGGUGAAGGGAUGAAGAAGGAACAUAGGAUAGGAGGGUCUCCAGAAGAUAAGAUACAAAAAAUGAUGUGGG
RNAcentral lists this long non-coding RNA (437 nucleotides) under Manihot esculenta (cassava). Its description in RNAcentral is "long non-coding RNA (MESC_LNC002261)". Lineage: Eukaryota; Viridiplantae; Streptophyta; Magnoliopsida; Malpighiales; Euphorbiaceae. The record is from RNAcentral.